AGUUGGCAAUAUGGUGACCACAGUGACGAUCUUCUUGACCCUUUGGGUGACUUUUCCUGGAACUCUUCCUGGAAAACACCAUUAUCUGAGUAACUCAGGCAGCCAUGAGAGACUACCCAUUCUCACAUUUCCAAAGGUCUACCUUCCAAUGCCCCCACGCUUUGCAGUGCCUGUCUGGCCGGCCUUUCCAGCCGCCCUCCCUCAGCCAGUUCCCCCUCCCUCACCAAAUCCAUUGCCCAUGCCAACCCCUACUCCUGCCACCACCCCGCGAGGUGACAACUGAUAAAAUGGCCUUGAUCCCCUCAGAUGCUCCCUAAUCUUUUUUUGUGACAAUGAGUGAUUUGUACUUACUAGUCAAUGAACCUAGAAUUAAACUGCCACAAACUGCAAACUCAGAUUUAAAAAAGGCCCUUCUCUUUUAAUCUUACAUGCACGAGUGCAUAUUACAAGUAAAGUAUAGAACACAGCCCUUGCUAAAAAGAAAAUUAUUUUGAUUGUUUUGUGCAAUUGUACUGAACAAAAAUGCUAUUUUGAUGCAUUAGAUGCCUUUUUGUUUCAUAUUUUCUUUAUAACUAGUAUUGGAACUUAUAAACCUUUUUCACAAGAGUUUUACUCUUCAGCAAAUUACAUGACCAUCUGUUUCACUGUCAGCCAAUAACAGUUUACAUUGCUGCAUGACUCCAAAACAAGGGCCUUGUCACAGUGACGAAUGUAGCAUUAGUCUGCAAAACUCAGAAGCUUCCAUUUCCAUGAAGUAUGAUCUUACUCUGGCUUUCCAGGUAUUGGCAGAACCUGAUAUGAACCUUGGCAUCUGUUCAGUAAUGAUAGCUGUCACUUGGUCUCCUGCCUAAACGCUAUUAUUAUGGGAUUACUGUAAACCAUGACUUGUGAAGACCUGACCCAUCCAGGGCUGAUGAGUAAUAUACUUUUUGUUGGCUUCCUUGGCGGUUUGUCUGACUCCAUAAUCUUGCAGAAAACAAUAACAUAGCUGAUAUUUAGUUGGGAACAGUUACACCAUUUAAUUUUGCUUGUGUAAAAAUAGGUAUACAUAUCUAAUCCAGCUGUUUUUGUGUGAUGUUUAAACAUAUUGAAAAUAUUACACUUUGGUAAUUGAUUUUUCUGAGCAGUCAUGACGGCUCAGUGGGCAGUACUGCUGCUUCACACCUCUAGUGUUGAGGGCUAAAGUUCCACCUUUGUGCUGCAUUUGUUUAGUUGCAUGAUCUCACUGUUUUGCAUGGGUUCCUCCUGCAGUCAAAAGACAUGCAGGGUGUAUCCCAGGCCCAUGCCCUGUGAUAGACUGGCAUCCCAUCCAGGGUGUACCCCAGCCCCGUGCCCCUGUGAUGGACUGGCAUCCCAUCCAGGGCAACCCCCAGCCACAUGCCCUGUGAUGGACUGGCAUCCCGUGCAGUGUGUACCCCAGCCCUGUGCCCUUUUGUGAUUAGAAGAUGGAUGGAAGUUUUCUGAACACCACCAGUAGCUUUACCCUCAAAUAUUGUAUAUGGCACAUAAUAUGAAUUAAAAUUUAUUCUACAUGAAAAUUA
Molecule: long non-coding RNA, 1541 nt
Organism: Brienomyrus brachyistius
Lineage: Eukaryota; Metazoa; Chordata; Actinopteri; Osteoglossiformes; Mormyridae
Exons: 3
Source: RefSeq, a predicted model, not a curated record